Long non-coding RNA from Zingiber officinale, 863 nucleotides. RefSeq lists it as uncharacterized. NCBI's taxonomy places the organism in Eukaryota, Viridiplantae, Streptophyta, Magnoliopsida, Zingiberales, Zingiberaceae. The transcript has 5 exons. The record is from RefSeq and is a predicted model, not a curated record.
GUGGAUAUACCUUGAAUCCAUCUAGGUAGUCUUUGUUAAUGAUUUGUUUAUCUGUGAAUGCUAGUUAGUUCUUUCAAUUACCUAAUACUUGCUCAUCUAUUCUGUUUUUCAUUCUAGUUGCUAAGUUUCAUAUAUCUUCUUGUUGGUUCUUUCUGAUUCCUAGUACUUGAUAUUAGAAUGAUUCCUCCACAGUCCAUGACAUCUUGUGAUGUAAUGAUGAUCAGUAAGACUUGAGUAAUGAUUUGCAACUGGAGAAAUCGAUUGAAAUGAUUCAUGUAUUUAAAGUCUCAUUUCAGGAUGCUAUUGUGAAGGUGUAAAAAGAUUUGUAUAUGUAUCAGCUGCUGAUUUUGGUCCCGUGAAUUAUAUCCUGCAAGGGUAUUUUGAGGGAAAGGAAUAAUUCUCAAACCGGGUUUCGUAUAUGGAACACGGAAAGUUGGGAGUAUGAAGAUACCUCUAGGACUAAUAGGAUCACCAUUAGAGAAGGUAGAACCCAUCGUCUCUCCAUUUGGACGGCAAGAGAAACUGAAACUUGAACUCACCUAUGUUUUGAGUUGAUCUACAGAUUCUCCAGCAUGCAAAGCCACUAAGUAGCAUCCCAGUUGUUGGUCCCCUCUUGACACCUCCAGUAAAGAAAGAAGAAAAAUUGGCUAUGCCUCAGCAUGGAAUUUGCGACACGGUUCAGACUCCAAUGGUUCUUCUUUGAAAAUCCCUUCUUCUAAGCAACUGAGUAUGAAACCUGUGGAUCCUACUAUGCUCAGUCCACAUUAGACGAGAGCUUACCAAGGAGAGGUUGGCACUAGUAAAGGCUGGGAGAGAGGAUAGAGGGAAGUACCAAGCCAGAGCUGCAGUGAAACAGAGAAAGG